UGCCUCUCCCUUCUCUCUCUGUGAUGGUGUUAGGUCACCUCAACACGAGCUGGAGUCCUUUUAGGAGAGAGCACCUCAACUGAACAAACGCAGCUGCUAAGCUGGCUUGUGCUACAUUUUCCUGAUGGGCAAAUCAUGGGGGAGGACCCAGCUCUCGGUGGGUGGGGUGGAGCCACCCCUGAGCAGGCGCUGUAAGAAAGUGGCUGAGCAAGCUGCUGGGGACAAGCCAGGAAGCAGCUCUCCUCUACGGCCUCCACAUCAGCUCCUGUCUCCCGGUUCCUGUUCUGACUCCCCUCCAUGAUAGAUCUGCUUGGGACAUGACAACCCUCACCUAUGCAGCAAGCUCUGGCACAGGCUCCCCUCCUACACCCCAGCUUUUCUCACGUGCAUGGAGGAUGAAUGGCAAGGAUGGAUGCACAAUGAAGAGCGGGGGAAGCAGGAUCUACGUGGCAGCCACAAGAGGCUUUUGAGAGAAGCAUGUCCUGGCUGCUGCCACCGUCAGGUCACUGCUCCAGGUGGCUGGGGGUCAGCUCCUGUGGCCAGUGACUAAACAUGGAAGUGAUCAUCUCUCUACUGCUAAGGCAUGCUCCUCAAAACUCCUCCGGCCACUGUGGUGUUCCGUCUCCUCUGCUGGGGAUGAACCAAAGCUGAACUCUGGUGGCUUCCCUCUGGCCUGCUUCUUGUGGUGACCGUAUUGUUCCAACGUUGCUUUCUGAAGCACAGGCAGGAGCCGACGCUGAACACCACCUGGAUCCCUGACCGCCUAACUGUACAUUUGGAUCGUCGCGCUUGCUGCUCCCAUGAGGCCCACGGCCCAUCUUACCUCCCGGUCUAGGCCUGCUGCCACUGUCACG
Alexandromys fortis (reed vole) is the source of this 854-nucleotide long non-coding RNA. RefSeq lists it as uncharacterized. The transcript has 4 exons. Lineage: Eukaryota; Metazoa; Chordata; Mammalia; Rodentia; Cricetidae. The record is from RefSeq and is a predicted model, not a curated record.